This 952-nucleotide long non-coding RNA is filed under the name Equus caballus (horse). RNAcentral describes it as "lncRNA (ENSECAG00000031710.3)". The record is from RNAcentral. Lineage: Eukaryota; Metazoa; Chordata; Mammalia; Perissodactyla; Equidae.
CUGGCAGAGCACAGCCUUAGCUCAGUGAAUUUACGUUUGCUGAAGUGCCCAUCAUGGACUCAUGUGCAGAACUCUACUGCAUGGCUCCUUCUAGAGGAAUGAGACUGCACUCCUUGCCCACAAAGAGCCAGAAUAAGAUGAGAGCAUCCCUUACGUUCACACUGCCGUGUUUACACUUCUACGUGACUGAGUGUCAUUUGGAAUGGCCAGCGUCUGGGUUCUUUCUGUGCUUUGGGAGGAAGAAAUCAUCUCUGAAGUCAGGAUGCUUAGGAGCAGAGCCUUGUUUUGGCAGAAUGUGUGUCCAUAUGUCCAGCCUGAAGACGGCCACCUGCAAACCAGCAAGAGGGCCCUCACCAAGAACUGAAUCUGCUGGUGCCUCGAUCUUGGACUUUCCAGCCUCUAGAACUGUGGCAGUGCCUUCCUUCUCUACACCCAGCUAGAUGCCCGACUGCUUUCAUUUCCUGAGGAGCCCAGAAGGUUGCAAUGCAUACGAUAUUAGGAAUGAGGCUAUCCACCCGGGCCAGGACAGCUCCUCCGGGGACGGUGGAAUCAGUACCAGGCUUUAGCUUUCUGAGAACUGUACGGUCCCUGAUUAACAUGUGAGGAUUUUAAAAAUUUUUUAAUGGUUUUAUUUUCUCAUUUUCUUGUUCAAUUAGCUACAGUCUUAUUCUUUGCACAAGAUCUGCGAAAAGCCAGAAACCAGAGACGUACAGAAGUGGAACUACUGAAAUGCUAUGAAUUUACUGUAAGAGAGCAUUCUUCCCUGGAGAGGUUUACGGCCGCCAAAGCACUCUUUUACUGGUGAAAGUCAGGGGCGGGAAGGAAGAAAACGAAAAGCAUGAUUCUAGGAACCACGUUGUAGAAAUGCCAAAGGGAGGUUCAAACAAGGAAGUAAUUGUUCGUUAGCUGUUGUCAAUGAUUAAACAUGAAUCCCCAUUUCCAUAUGACCCAG